Lutzomyia longipalpis is the source of this 3667-nucleotide RNA transcript. It is a transcript of the gene named blood vessel epicardial substance, with no coding region annotated. NCBI's taxonomy places the organism in Eukaryota, Metazoa, Arthropoda, Insecta, Diptera, Psychodidae. The transcript has 8 exons. The record is from RefSeq and is a predicted model, not a curated record.
UUGUAGGAAAAAUUAUUAUAAACAAACUUUUGUUUUGUAUGUGACGAGAAAAAAAAUUGUGAAAAUGUUUGGAUGUACUGCGGAAUAACUACGUAUUUCGCAAGAAAUUGGCAACAGGCUGCAAUGGAAUUGCUUCGAUGUAUCCAUAGCUAAAUAAUAGACAUUCAGCUAUGGCCAAUUGGUGGCACUGAAAUUCUGGCUGCACGACACGUCAUAUGAUUUGCAUGAGACGUGUUAUAAGACAUUCAUAAGACAUGAAGAAGAAGAAAUAUAAACCUGUCGUAAGAUAAUCAUAAUACGCGCUAUACAACAGCGUCUUAUGUUGUCAUACAUAGAAUUUUUUUUCGGACGGAAGCAAUGUAAAUAAUGUUAUAAUUAAAACUUUUAUACCUUGUCAGGUAUUUGUCUGAUUUUGUCUUAAGACAAAUAUUAUACUCUGUCAUACGACAUAGUGCGGAGAACUUCUGUCAAGUGCUCGCGCGCGCUCGUUUCAAUCAGUCAAGUCAGUCAGUAUAAAGUUGUCCAUGGUCGGGGGUGGAGGUGUUGGCGAACGCAAUGUGAAAGAAUUGAGAGUGGAAAAUUGGUAGCAUCUAUGUUUAAAUAUUAAAUUGUAAUAAGAAAGCGUACAUAUGUAAGGAAAAUUGUUGAGCAAAACUAUUACCGUGAAGCAUUAAAAGUAAACAAGUGAAUGUAUGAAAUUGCUAACCAGCAAUUUGUGGGAGCGUAGGACUGUGUGGCCCCAACAUACCCUGGAAAAUUUUGGGUGCAGUCCCGUGAGGCGAAGAUAGGCCAAGGAGGACUUUUUUCGCAAUAUAUUAAUCGUUCUUAUUGGGCACAUUGUGAAUGCGAUUGGUCGAGGUGGUGAACAAAACAUCAUGUCUGAUCUUAAGCGUAUUAUAAUUAAAUUUGGAUCGUGGGACGUGUUAAAACAUCACGUAUAAAAUUGUCUACUCCAUUGUCGAUAGAGCACCUCACAGGAUGCUACUGCUAAGCGCUCUAACACUUGGACUGGUAGAGUCCACGGGUCAGAAUGUAGCCAGUGGAAUUGGGCGGGAGAAUGUUUUGGCAGAUUCGAGUGGAAGUUCUGAAGAGAACAUGAAUAUGGAGAACUAUACAUUUCGGCUCGAUCCAUCACCCGUCGAGUGGACCAUUGGAAUGGAUUUCACAACAGCAUGCCCAACAUUGCGUACGCCACAUCAUCUGUACUAUCAGCUCGGCAACGCAAUAAUGGCAGUAGCUUUCCUUGCGCCGGGAAACCCUUAUGGUCAACUUUGGCUACGAAGUGUCCUUGUGAUUGGAUGUGUUCUCAUGGCAAUGUGGGGAUGGCUCGUAGAGUGUACAGUGGAUGCCUUUGUAUGGGCCAUAGUGUUCCUUGUGAUUAAUUUUAUACAUGUGAUUGUGCUCUUGUUUCGUCUGCGUCCCGUCAAAUUUGAAAAGGAAAUUGAAUCGGUAUAUGCAGCACUUUUUCAACCUCUUAGAGUGUCCCGUCAUCAAUUCAAAAAAGUUCUGAACUGUAUGAAACUGGUACGAUCACUCAAAUACCAAGAAGUCUAUGCACAAGAAAAAGUCACCAAAGUAGACAGUCUAUCCCUAGUGCUGUCAGGAAAACUAGUCGUAUCGCAAAAUCAAAGAGCACUACACAUAGUGUUUCCACAUCAGUUUCUAGACUCUCCAGAGUGGUUUGGGGUCUCUACGGAUGAUUUUUUUCAAGUUUCAAUAAUGGCUAUGGAGGAGUCUCGGGUUCUAAUCUGGCAUCGAGAUAAGCUGAAAUUGUCAAUAAUGGCCGAACCAUUUCUCCAAGCAGUCUUUGAUCACAUACUCGGCCGGGAUGUUGUGAAGAAGCUCAUGCAGGUGACCCAGGUGAGCGAAACUAUGGCAGCGAGCAAUGGAUUCAUAUCUUCUGGAUAUGAUGAUGUUGAGGAUAAGCCCAUGUUACUUAUGAAGAAGACAAGUGAUGGGCACGGUAUAACGGCAUUAAUCAAUCGUCAACUUCAAGAGGAGCAUGUACCUUUGCUCGGAAGUUCCUAUCGAGCGUUCCUGCCAUCAAUGGUUGCAUCUGCUGAUCUUAAAACGUCUACUUGCUGAGCAUCUUUGUUCUCUUUCUAUGUAGAUAUUUUAAUUUAUGUUUUGCUCUUUUAUGUUUAGUUUAUGUACAGCUUCUUUUUUUUUAAAACUUAAAAUCCAUUUCUCAAAGGCUAUAGCUUGGUAAAAUCAGUAAUAUGUAUACCCAUUCCAUUUAAUACUCUACCUACAACUACCUAAAAAAAUAUUCUUACAUUUUUUUUGUAUUUAGUAAAUUGUUUUAGGCGAUUGUAAUCCAUAUGUUUAUGUUUAAAAUUCGCUGUCAACAUUUUAACACGGCAUCUAUUUAUAUUCUUCUUAAACACAAAAAAAACAACUAAAUCAAUUUGAUAAAUAAAUAAAGUUUAGAAAUCAAUAUUUUCAAUCCUGAUAUAUUUUCUAUGAAAAUCCAGUCAAUAUAAUAUGCAAUUUACUUUGAAAAAUAUUCUCACAUAAACAAAAUUAGAUUUGAAGAGGUACUAGAUGCCGACGGAAAUGGGUGAAAUGUAUCUUGAUUCCACCAUAUACGUUUGUCCAAACUCCAAAGUGUGAAAUAUCUUUCACUGCGACGGCAUGAGCUUACAAUUAUCUUUUUUUCCUUAGUUAUAACUCUAUUGCCUCUUAUCGAAAAAUUAAGCUUUUACAAUCAUUCUUAUAAAAUAAACCAUAAAAAUUUAAAUAAUGCUAAACACUGAAUAUUAAUGAAAUCACCUGUGACUUUGAUAAUAAAAUGCAUUGUAUGAAAAUACGUUAAGUAAUUUGUGCCAUGUUGUUGCUUUUUGAAAUUUGUAAUAGGAAAAUUUUCUUUUGCCUAGCUCUGCCUAGGAUAUCUAAGUAUUAUUAUUGCGUUGGCGAUCCAAAUGCUUGGCGCUUGGGCAGGAUCGAGGAGACUGACCAUGAAACGGCUGUUUAGGAGACAUAAAUAAGAAUUUGUUGAGAUUUUGCAGCUGCGAUGAGAGAUUAGGACAAUAUUUUUAUUCUCAAAACUUGCGCAGAAAAAAUUGGUUAAGCUAAUUUUUUUUUACACAUAAUCGUAUCAAGUUUGAAGUGUGUGAUGAAUAAUAAGUGGUUUAAGUAAGGAAGGAGAAAAGUUCACAGAAAAAAAUAUAUGUGCUAAAAUUGAGAAAAAAAAGUUAAAUUUGAUGCUUUUUGAAAUUAAAUUUGUAAUGCUAUAAUUAUAACAUUGUCUAGAAUUACUAUUUCUAACGUACGAUGAUCUCAGUCCGAUAUGUAUCAUACUUAUUUUGAAUCAAACGUUUUGAGCACCAUCAUCAUAAAACACAAAUUUAUAUACAGGAGUACGUUAUCUUCCCUGUUAGGUAAAAGAUCAUUGAUUUGUUGCCUUAUGCUAAACCAGUAAAAUGGCUCAUAGAACACCAAAGCAACAUUGAAUAUCAGAGAUUUUUUUUACUAUAUAAUAAGAAAUAUUCUUUCCAAUUCAAAGCGAUUUGAGUUUUGUAAUAGAUUUUAUGUGAUUGGUUUAAAGAAUGAAGAAGUGUUUUGAACAGUGAACUUUGAACCAUUGUAAAAUGUAAAUUGUAGGUAUUUCCAGAGAAAAAAAUCAGAAAAUUAAAGAAACGCAAACUUAAUCGUUACGCCCAUUUUA